This 429-nucleotide ribosomal RNA is filed under the name Chloroflexota bacterium. Its description in RNAcentral is "Chloroflexi bacterium partial 16S ribosomal RNA". It matches the Rfam family "Bacterial small subunit ribosomal RNA", at positions 355 to 776 of the family's 1533-position model. Lineage: Bacteria; Bacillati; Chloroflexota. The record is from RNAcentral.
UGGGGAAUAUUGCACAAUGGGCGCAAGCAUGAUGCAGCCAUGCCGCGUGUAUGAAGAAGGCCUUCGGGUUGUAAAGUACUUUCAGCGGGGAGGAAGGGAGUAAAGUUAAUACCUUUACUCAUUGACGUUACCCGCAGAAGAAGCACCGGCUAACUCCGUGCCAGCAGCCGCGGUAAUACGGAGGGUGCAAGCAUUAAUCGGAAUUACUGGGCGUAAAGCGCACGCAGGCGGUUUGUUAAGUCAGAUGUGAAAUCCCCGGGCUCAACCUGGGAACGGCAUCUGAUACUGGCAAGCGUGAGUCUCGUAGAGGGGGGUAGAAUUCCAGGUGGAGCGGUGAAAUGCGUAGAGAUCUGGAGGAAUACCGGUGGCGAAGGCGGCCCCCUGGACGAAGACUGACGCUCAGGUGCGAAAGCGUGGGGAGCAAACAGG